AAAAAAGGAAAGAAAGCUUGCUGUGGAAAUCUUGGUUUCGAAUUUAGAAUUGUCGGUUUUAACCUUGGGGGCUUUUGGGUUUCGCCGUUUCGGUAUUUGGUGGAGGGUGGUUUGGUAAUUUCGCGGAGGCUAUUAAAAACGACUGUUAGUUUGAGUUAUGGUUUGGGUUUUCCCGGGAAAAGUAGUUUGUGCUCUUUGGGUCUGAAAUACCGAAAAUGCCCAUCGUUCCGAAGUGUUGAUUCUAUUAAUUUUUUCUAGUUCGAAAUUUAAAUAUAGUUAUAAUUAUUGAUGAGUAAACUAAACUAUAUGUUUGUGACAAAUAAAGUAGGUGGGAAGAUUAUGAAUAAUUCUUCCGUAUUAGGAAAUGUUAUACAAUUAUAACAUUUUGAUUGUUGUGAUUGUGACUUCUCGAGGUUAAAGAAACUUCCAAAUUAAUUUGUUUUAUAUCUAUAUGUGAGGAAAAAAUAAUAGCGUAUUUAUUUGAUGGUGUUUAUUUUAAUAAGUUUCUUGAUUGCUUAAAAGUUAAAUCCUCAAAGUAAUAAUAUUGUUGAUGUUGAUUUUCGUCAAUAGGAGAUCAUGAAGGGCGACUAGAAUGCGAAUUAAUCGUCACUUAUUUUAACUUUUUCUUUGAAAAACUUAUUUCUUUUAAGAACUAUUCCGAUUUAAAAAUAUUUGAAUAUCUCUUAUAAUUAAUUAUCUCUUAGAUAUAUGAGGAAAUAUCCUUAUUGAUUUGAAUUGAUACUUACCUUUUGGAGUAAGAAUCAUAUGUGUAUAUAUAUAUAUUUAAAUUAGAAAGAAUAUCGUAAUAAAUGUACUUAAACGUGGAAGCUCAAAUCUUUGAUUUUCAUAAUCAUCGGUCCCUAAGAUGUAUUCAUGGACCUUUCCUUCGAGCUCUCGAGUCAUGUAAUAUUUGUCUUCGUAGUCCCUAAUACUUUUUCGGUGCUUUUAGUACUUCAGAUUGGAUUGGAUAUGAUUAGAUUAUAUAUAUGAAAUUGGAUUGGAUUUGAUUGUACAAAAUAAUAUUACAUGUUUAACGUACUAUUAUAUUAGAUUGGACUGGAUAUAAUAUUUAUUUUAAAUUAAAAAAAUUAUUUAAUUAAUCCAUUAUAAAUUAUUUUUUAUUUUUAUUUUUAUGAAUAAAUUAAUAAUCAAUUAAAAGAGUGGGGGCCCACAUUUUUUGCUUAUAUCCCAUGUAAUCUCCUACUUUUGGAAGGGAUGAGUUAUCCUACAUGCAUGAAAUUAUUUUUAGGGAAAAUUUAAAUAAUCUCAUCCACAAUUUGCACCAAACAUAACAUUAAAAUAAUAUUAUCCAAUCCAAUCCAAUCCAAAACUAUAUCAUAUCCGCCAAACACAUCCUUUAGCUCUUUGGCCCAGAUAUUCAUUUCAAAGUUGCUCAAUAAUAAAUAUAAAAUUAACAAUAAAGUAGUUUUCUAAGUCUAAUGAUUUGAAUUUUUUAAUAAAUGGCAACUUAUGGAUAUAAAAGUACAUAGUUGAUGAGCCGAAGAGAUGUUAUCCACCAUAUAGACAAUGCAAAAAUUAUGAUAUGUUGCAAAACUUGUUACAUAUUAAAACGAAAAAAUAUAUAAUGUCUAGAAACUUAUAAUAUUUAAUACAUUGUAUUCUACUAAAAUCUUUGGUGAAAUGGGUGUCUUAAACAUGUUUCAAUUGGCUUAAUUCUAAUACGGUUGAAAUUGAAUUGGCCUCUUAAUUAUAAUCUGAAUUGAAAGGGGAUAUUGAUAAAUGCUCUUUUAUUAAGAUAAUGGAAUAUAUUUAUCUGGGAAUUUGGAUUAGCUACUUAACUUACUAGCUUGAGCCUUGAUGUCCAAAUUGGUUUAUUUACAAAUGGUCACACUCUUCUCAUACGUUUAUAUUAGUCUAUAGCAAAAUAAAUUAUCUAAUACAUUGUUAAACUCAAACUGCAUUAGAUACUUCAAAAAAUAAUAAGAAAUUAUAUACACCUAGCCAUUAUAUGUUAUUUUUUCUCAAUUCCAAUAUUCUCCAAGCCAUCCACUGGGUAGCACCUAUAUAGUAUAUAUAAUAUAAAAGUGUUGAAAUUUAGUUUCCAUUCUAUUUUAUUUCUCUCGUAUAGUUUUGUUCAGAAAAGGUGAUAUUAUUUCGGGGAGAAUUCUAAAGAUGCAUUUUUUGCACACUAUGUUUUUAUUUUGCUUACACUUUUAUUUUAUUCUAUAUCAUUACACUAUAGGUAUUGGUAGAAAUUAAAAAAGCUUAUAGAUUGGAAAAAAUUAAAUUUAUUAAGAGAUAUUUUUAAAAAAUGCUCACAAUUAACGCACCAUUAAUAUUUAUGUCUCAAAGAUUGUGCUCUUUUAUUUUCCAUCUCGUGUUAUAAUAUGCAAUAUUAAUGGUAGAAUAAAAGAACAAGCACAAAAAGGCACAAAUUAAGUGUGUGAAAAAAGAACUUAAAGGUAGAGAAUUUUACGAUAGCAAAUGGUACCGAAUAGAAGGGCCGUUGCUCAACAAAUAAAGUUACGCUAGGGAUAACAGACUAAUCUUCCCUAAGAGCUCACAACUAUGGGAGAUUUAGCACCUUGAUGUCGGCUCUUUUGCCGCUUAAGGCUGUAGUAUGUUCCAAAGGUUAGGCUAUUUGCUCAUUAAAGUGGUGUGUGAGCUAGGUUUAGAACGUCGUGAGACAGUUUAGUCCAUAAUCAGUGUAAGAGUUAGAGCAUUGAGAGGACCUUAUCAUAGUGCAAGAGGACUGGGAAUGAACCUCGUAGUUAUUAAACGCUGGAUAGCCAAGUGCGGAGUGGAUAGCUGUUUAAAACGUCUAAGUAGUAAGCUCACCCCAAGAUGAGUACUAUUAUAUUCCGAUUUUUUCAAAGCCUACGAUUGACAACUAGGACAAAUGAUGGGUUUUCUACUUCUGCAUGGCUUUACUACUCAUUCGGGCUAGAGCACGAUCUUAGACUAUCAUGAUUAACUUUUUUUAAAAAAUAAGA
RNAcentral lists this ribosomal RNA (2954 nucleotides) under Boehmeria nivea (ramie). RNAcentral's name for it is "bacterial LSU rRNA". The stretch from base 2313 to 2919 matches the Rfam family "Bacterial large subunit ribosomal RNA". Lineage: Eukaryota; Viridiplantae; Streptophyta; Magnoliopsida; Rosales; Urticaceae. The record is from RNAcentral.